Molecule: long non-coding RNA, 1598 nt
Organism: Homo sapiens (human)
Lineage: Eukaryota; Metazoa; Chordata; Mammalia; Primates; Hominidae
Gene: PANTR1
Product: POU3F3 adjacent non-coding transcript 1
Source: Ensembl
UAAAAGUUAAAGGUAAUUUGCAAAGAAAAUGCUCAGUUUGAAUUGGUUUGUAAUAUCUGUUAAUGAUCUUUAAAAAAAUCCACUUAUUCACAAUUCUGUCCCUGGGGGAAUUCCAAUGUGCUAUCAGAAAAAAUUUCUAAAGUCUGAAAUGUCAUUAGCUAGUGAUUUCUUUGAAGUAAAAAGCCCCGAAAAAAAUAAAUUAUAUAAGGUAUACAAGUGCACAGGACAAUCACUUUGAUGAAUAAUAUCUCUUUUUUUCAUAACGUUUCAUACCUAAAAAUGCAACAACUGAAAUUCAAGCUGGUAAAUUAUAGAGCCAUCUUUUGAAUUACCUCAAUGUAGGCAUGCCUUCUGUUUAUUUCUCACAUAUAUUGAGUUCUUCCAUAUAUUUAUAGAUUGUUGAUAUAAAAACAGUAGUGUUAGGAACAAUUUUGAUGAUAUUCAUUGUGUUUUCUUUUUGGAAACACAAAGUGUUGCCUAAAUACAGGCAUACAGGUGUUGCCAUCCGGGGAUUAAAACAAUAGCCUAUUUCAAUAUUCCAUCCUGGACCCCAGAGCCAGGUGCCGUGAAUGGAGGUGCAAAUGCUACUCAGCCCGGGAGAGUUGUUCAAUAUUAGAUAACAGAGCCAUGAAAUACUACACCAAAGGGAAAAUUUUCUUCCUGACCCCAGCUGGUGAUCAGUUUUUGCCUGGAAGCAGGGGAGUCUUUGUAAUACAAUACUUGUCAAUGUUGUUGGUUUGGCUGCUAUAAAUAGCUAUUUUUUUUGGAGGAUGGGAGGAGUUGGAUUUUACUAAACCAUUGGCUACAGGUUAAUUAUACAUUUCAUAAAAAAGCAUUUCUUGUAGCCAGUCUAAAUUUGUUACGUUUUAAUCCCAUUUUAUAUAAGGCUAGAAAUAUAUGAGCCUCCAGCAGGCCCGUUAUUUUUGUCAUUAUUUUAUACAUUGGACCUUCAGCUCUCUAUCUCUCUUUUUUUCUUUUUCCUCUCUAUGCAUUACUCACCUCUUAGCUAAAUUGCAGAGGGUCCCAGUUUCAUUCAUUCUCCCUCACAGGGAAGGCAUUCUCUUCCUCUUCCUCCAGCUGCCUGAAAAUCAUAUGCGUGGUUUUUCCUGUUUCCUGCUCUGUAGCUGACAUCAGGGGAGCAACGUGAACACAGGAAAAUGGAAAUCAACAUUUGAAACUUUUAAAUGGAAGCUUUAUUGGGGUUCCACAUAUGGAAAACUGCAAAUAGCAGAAGUAUGUGACUCAAUAAAUUAUUCUGGAGUGACCACAUCCUCUAACUGCCUCCCAGGACAAGACGGAGAAUGUGAACAAUGCUCCUGAAGGCCCCUUUCCCUCAAAGAAUCACUGCAAUUGAAGGAAAAAUGCUCCAUGUCCCCUCUGCCAGUUGGUGUUUAUCAAAGGACAACGGAGGAAGAGAGACAAAGUGCCUGGAUGUGUGUGUUAAUCAAGAGUUGUCAGGACCCUGCCUCUAAAAGAAAGCGCUAAAAUGAUGCUUUUGACAAGACUUUUCUCAAAGUGGAUGCAGUCUAAGGGUUGGAAAACAAGGCCCAAUCAGGCUAGGUCUGACUUGUCGCCUGCUUUUGUAAAUAAAGUUUUAU